GGCCUAACACAUGCAAGUCGAACGGUAACAUUUCUAGCUUGCUAGAAGAUGACGAGUGGCGGACGGGUGAGUAAUGCUUGGGAACUUGCCUUUGCGAGGGGGAUAACAGUUGGAAACGACUGCUAAUACCGCAUAAUGUCUUCGGACCAAACGGGGCUUCGGCUCCGGCGCAAAGAGAGGCCCAAGUGAGAUUAGCUAGUUGGUAAGGUAACGGCUUACCAAGGCGACGAUCUCUAGCUGUUCUGAGAGGAAGAUCAGCCACACUGGGACUGAGACACGGCCCAGACUCCUACGGGAGGCAGCAGUGGGGAAUAUUGCACAAUGGGGGAAACCCUGAUGCAGCCAUGCCGCGUGUGUGAAGAAGGCCUUCGGGUUGUAAAGCACUUUCAGUUGUGAGGAAAAGUUAGUAGUUAAUACCUGCUAGCCGUGACGUUAACAACAGAAGAAGCACCGGCUAACUCCGUGCCAGCAGCCGCGGUAAUACGGAGGGUGCGAGCGUUAAUCGGAAUUACUGGGCGUAAAGCGCACGCAGGCGGUUUGUUAAGCUAGAUGUGAAAGCCCCGGGCUCAACCUGGGAUGGUCAUUUAGAACUGGCAGACUAGAGUCUUGGAGAGGGGAGUGGAAUUCCAGGUGUAGCGGUGAAAUGCGUAGAUAUCUGGAGGAACAUCAGUGGCGAAGGCGACUCCCUGGCCAAAGACUGACGCUCAUGUGCGAAAGUGUGGGUAGCGAACAGGAUUAGAUACCCUGGUAGUCCACACCGUAAACGCUGUCUACUAGCUGUGUGUGUCUUUAAGACGUGCGUAGCGAAGCUAACGCGCUAAGUAGACCGCCUGGGGAGUACGGCCGCAAGGUUAAAACUCAAAUGAAUUGACGGGGGCCCGCACAAGCGGUGGAGCAUGUGGUUUAAUUCGAUGCAACGCGAAGAACCUUACCUACACUU
RNAcentral lists this ribosomal RNA (940 nucleotides) under Alteromonas macleodii. RNAcentral's name for it is "bacterial SSU rRNA". It matches the Rfam family "Bacterial small subunit ribosomal RNA", at positions 45 to 982 of the family's 1533-position model. Lineage: Bacteria; Pseudomonadati; Pseudomonadota; Gammaproteobacteria; Alteromonadales; Alteromonadaceae. The record is from RNAcentral.